Molecule: ribosomal RNA, 437 nt
Filed under: Ectopleura dumortierii
Lineage: Eukaryota; Metazoa; Cnidaria; Hydrozoa; Anthoathecata; Tubulariidae
Description: partial large subunit ribosomal RNA
Rfam family: Bacterial large subunit ribosomal RNA
Source: RNAcentral
AGUAGCAUAAUUAAUUGUCAUUUAAUUGGUGGAGAGAAUGAAUGGUUAAACGAACGCUUCAUUGUCUUAGAAGAGAGUUUUUGAAAUUAGAAAAAUAGUGAAGAUCCUAUUUUUUACCGUUAGACGAAAAGACCCUAUAGAGCUUAACUAUAAUUCAUAAUAUAAUAAAAAUUAUGGGUGGGUAGUUUAGUUGGGGCGACUAUCUUUUAUAAAUAACAAAGAUAAGCAUGAUAAUAUAAUUUAAUUACUGUAUAAUUAAUAUAUUUAACAGUUACUAAAGUAGGCUAUAAUGACCCAUUAGGCAGUAGAAAUUCACCUAAUGAUUAAUAAAUAAAAGCUACCUUNGGGAUAACAGGAUAAUUUUGUUUUAGAGAUCAANUCAANUNCAANNUUUGUCACCUCUAUGUUGAAUUAAGAUAACCAAACAAUGCAGAAGU